Molecule: ribosomal RNA, 305 nt
Filed under: uncultured bacterium
Lineage: Bacteria
Description: bacterial SSU rRNA
Rfam family: Bacterial small subunit ribosomal RNA
Source: RNAcentral
GCCUACGGGGGGCAGCAGUGGGGGAUAUUGGACAAUGGGGGGGAACCCUGAUCCAGCGACGCCGCGUGAGUGAAGAAGUAUUUCGGUACGUAAAGCUCUGUCAGCAGGGAAGAAAGCAAUGACGGUACCUGACCAAGAAGCCCCGGCUAACUACGUGCCAGCAGCCGCGGUAAUACGUAGGAGGCAAGCGUUAUCCGGAAUGACUGGGCGUAAAGGGUGCGUAGGUGGUUUGACAAGUUAGUAGCGCAACUCCGGAGCUCAACUUCGGAACUACUACUAAAACUGUUGGACUUGAGUGCAGGAGG